AUGGUUUCACUGUUCCAUUCAAAUUGUACUCCAUGAUACACAAGUUAGAUUGAACCCUAAUAUUAUGAUGGCUCAAGACUUUGGCUCUGUGGUACCCCCCACCUCCACCCAUGUGCAGGCUGCCAACUGUCUCCAAGAGUUGCACCGCUGGACAAUUCUGCAUCGGAAUUCCUAUGGCCAGGCUGCUAAAGCAAAGGUUGGAGCCAGAACUGUUGUCC
Molecule: long non-coding RNA, 218 nt
Filed under: Physcomitrium patens
Lineage: Eukaryota; Viridiplantae; Streptophyta; Bryopsida; Funariales; Funariaceae
Description: long non-coding RNA (PPAT_LNC004063)
Source: RNAcentral